GAAACCGGGCGACCUACCCAUGAGCAGGAUGAAGCGAAAGUAAAAUUUCGUGGAGGUCCGAACCCACGAGCGUUGAAAAGCUCGGGGAUGACUUGUGGGUAGCGGUGAAAUUCCAAUCGAGCCCGGAGAUAGCUGGUUCUCCCCGAAAUAGCUUUAGGGCUAGCCUCAAGGUGAGAGAUACGGAGGUAGAGCACUGAAUGUCCUAGGGGGUAUUGCACCUACCGAAGACUAUCAAACUCCGAAUGCCGUCAUCUUAUACUUGGGAGUCAGACUGUGGGUGAUAAGAUUCAUAGUCGAAAGGGCAACAGCCCAGAUCGUCAGCUAAGGUCCCUAAAUGUAAGUUAAGUGGUAAAGGAUGUGGGAUUGCACAGACAACCAGGAUGUUGGCUUAGAAGCAGCCACUCAUUCAAAGAGUGCGUAAUAGCUCACUGGUCGAGUGAUCCUGCGCCGAAGAUUUCCGGGGCUAAAACUUACUACCGAAGCUACGGCAUCAGUAAUGAUGGGUAGGGGAGCUUCCCAUACGGGUUGAAGCAUGACCGUAAGGACAUGUGGACAGUAUGGGAGUGAGAAUGUUGGCAUGAGUAGCGAGAUGUGGGUGAGAAUCCCACAGGCCGUAAACCCAAGGUUUCCAGGGGAAGGUUCGUCCGCCCUGGGUUAGUCGGGACCUAAGCUGAGGCCGAAAGGCGUAGGUGAUGGACAACAGGUUGAUAUUCCUGUACUACCGAUAACCGUUUGAGAGAAGGGAUGACACAGUAGGAUAAGCUAAGCACACUGUUGGUUAUGUGUGCCCAAGCAUUGAGGCAGUCAAAGUAGGCAAAUCCGCUUUGAUAAUGCUGGGAUGUGAUGGGGAGCGAAAUUUAGUAGCGAAGUAGCUGAUUUCACACUGUCAAGAAAAGUCUCUAUCGAGGUUAAAGGUACCCGUACCGCAAACCGACACAGGUGGGUGAGGAGAGUAUCCUAAGGCCAGCGAGAGAACUGUUGUUAAGGAACUCGGCAAAAUGACCCCGUAACUUAGGGAUAAGGGGUGCCACCAUCAGGUGGCCGCAGAGAAUAGGCCCAAGCGACUGUUUACCAAAAACAUAGGUUUCUGCUAAGUCGCAAGACGAUGUAUAGGAGCUGACGCCUGCCCGGUGCUGGAA
This 1139-nucleotide ribosomal RNA is filed under the name Clostridioides difficile. Its description in RNAcentral is "partial 23S ribosomal RNA". It matches the Rfam family "Bacterial large subunit ribosomal RNA", at positions 717 to 1874 of the family's 2925-position model. Lineage: Bacteria; Bacillati; Bacillota; Clostridia; Peptostreptococcales; Peptostreptococcaceae. The record is from RNAcentral.